UUCCUUUUAUUAUAUUUUUAUUAUUUUUAUUUUAGGUUUAAGAGAAAUUUUAGGUAA
This 57-nucleotide transfer RNA is filed under the name Heterodera glycines (soybean cyst nematode). RNAcentral's name for it is "tRNA-Leu". Lineage: Eukaryota; Metazoa; Nematoda; Chromadorea; Rhabditida; Heteroderidae. The record is from RNAcentral.